UGGUUCUAGAAUGUGACAAUACUGAUGUAAAUUCAGUUACAUGUAUAGCUCGGUAUAUAAAGUUUUGCAAAGAUAAAUAUUUUUAAAUCUGUCUUAAGCCUUUGGUUCCAUGGUUAUUACCCUUUAUGCCUGAAACAGGUCCAUGGCAGACAGAAGGGAGCCCACUUGCAGACACCGAAGAGGCAAGAACAAUGUGUUUGGGUUUGUGUUUGUCAAACAUUUUCAUAGGGAUGCGGGUGUUUAAAAGUGUAUUCCAUCUGCACCAUGUACUUACGAUUGAAAUUGCAUCUUCAAGUAUGGGUAGCUAACAAAAAAAAGCAAUACAGAGACCCAUAUAGUUUAUAUCUUUAUAAUUAGAAUCAUACUUGAAUCAGCACGAUUGUCUGGUAUAGGGCUUCUAUCAAAAACAGUGCACACUAGUUAUAGGCCCUGUUGUUCAUCCUACGAAAUUCAAGUAGUUUUAAGCCCUUUUUAUUCAUCCAUCAAAAUUUUGGUAAUUUGAUCCUUAUUGCAGUGUCCGAAUAUAUAUUCAAAACUGUCUCUUAACUUCAUAAGUAUCACUAAUAUUUUUCGUUUUUCCAACUAAUAGAAAAGGUCGAAGUGAAAGUUGACUCUGCUAACAGAGUUGUGCGGUGUCAUUUAGUUUAGCAUAAACAUAUGUGGUUUAGGUAAACUGCAAUUGGAAUUUGAAGAGCUGUGUAACGUGUGAUGUGAUAGAGUUUAUUUACCAUACUAGAAUCUAUUUAGUACUGGUAGGUUAGUAAAUGUGUAAAAUUAAUUGCAUAUUACAAGAAUGAUAAUCCCUCCCUCCCUCGGUGUUGCAAUGUGUCCUAUGCCAUAAUAGAAUUGCAUAUUACAAGAAUGGUAAUAUGCAUUAUGCUUCUUUCUGUCUUCUGGUUCGACAUAUGCUUAUUCUGCCUUGAUCCUUCAAUUAUCAACUGCGCAUAUAUAUAAUUGUCCCGCAGGAUGGAAUCGAAAGCAGUCAUUUAUGCAUUCAAGGAUUCAAUAGCAGUAAUGUCAUUUUUAAUCUAUCGAUCGUCAGGUUGUGUCUUAAGGCGAAGGCAUCUUGGCUUGAAGGUUCAUGGAAGACAAAAGGCAAACCACUCGCCGUAGUUGGAAAAAAAAAAAAGGAAGGAGGAGCACCGCGUCAUAGACACGCAAGUAACAACAACAGUUAUAGUUGGUUCACGUGUUGUAAUUAUUUGUUCUUGUUGUUAUUACUGCUAAAACAGCAGAAUGGGAGAACAUAAAAGAAUAUGUAAUCAUUUGUUCUUGUUUUUGUUGUUGUCACUGCUGAGAACAACAGAAUGGGAGACACGUAGAUUGUUGGAUAACACCGAUGUCCCAGCCAUAUUUGGGACGAGGAGGUUUGUUUUGUGGUACCACUGAACUGAUGUCGAUGAGUCCUCCUGUUUUUUGUAGUUUAUUUUAAUUAUCAGAACAUUGUUGUUCCCUUCUCUUGACUUUAAAUAUCGUAAUGGUGUUUUUCCCUAUU
This is an RNA transcript of Fragaria vesca subsp. vesca, 1495 nucleotides long. RefSeq lists it as uncharacterized. NCBI's taxonomy places the organism in Eukaryota, Viridiplantae, Streptophyta, Magnoliopsida, Rosales, Rosaceae. The record is from RefSeq and is a predicted model, not a curated record. The transcript has 2 exons.